CCCGGGUCGCCCCUUCUCGCCCAAACGCUCGCGCGACAGUCUCGCGGUUUUUCCUUGCCCUGAGGGGGUUUUUUUGAACUGUGUGGCGCUAAUUCCAACUUGACAGCGUAAUUCCAACUUGGGUGCUUGGCUGCAGGCUGACCGGAGCCUGAGGCGACUUUGUACACUUGACCUGCGGUCCGUAGGACCCCCGCAGCCCAGAGCCGACCAGGCUCGUCCCGGCCGGGUCCCGGCACCAUGGGGGCGGAGAAGAAGCUGCUGCCGAUCAAGGAGGCCUUUCAGCUGGCGCAGCAGCCGCACCAGAACCAGGCGAAGCUGGUGGUGGCGCUGAGCCGCACCUACCGCACGGACUGAGGCAAAUAGCAGUGAAAUUCAGUGUUUGUUGUGCCAGAUUCUAAAUAAGUUCUUGGGAAAUAUGCUGGAAAAAGGCCAGAUUGAUAAUGUUUUGUGCAUAAAAUGGGUGAAGCUCUUCUUAUUAGACUGUGAGAUAAAAUUCCAAAUGUGAGGAUACAGGCAGUCGUGGCUCUUUCAAGACUUAAGAUGUAUGGGCAAUGAUUGCCCCGGUUAAAGAGGAAAACACUAUCCUGAAUUUUGUGCUACUCAUUACUCCUGGCUUGACCCCAGGACCCCAGGAUAAUGACCUGAGCCAAAGGCAGAUGCUUAGCCAACUGAGCUACCCAUGCACCCCAUGAACUAAGCUUCUAUGGGCAUUAUCAAACAUGUGGAAGAAUUUCUCUGGCUAGUAAUGCCUAGAAGCAGUGUUAGGGACUGAGUUGUGUGUCCACAAAAUUCAUAUGUUGAAGCCCUAACUCCCAAUACCUCAGAAUGUGACUGUAUGUGGAGAUGGGGUCUUUAAAGAGGUGAUUAAGUUAAAGUAAGGCCUUUGAGAGGGGGCCCUCAUCCAAUUUGACUGGUGUUUUAUAAGAAAAGGAAAUUAGAACAUGUCCAUGUAGAGAGGAAGGGCCAUGUGAGAGCACCGCAAGAGGACAUCUAUCUACAAGCCAAGAAGAGAGGCCUCAAGAACCCAAACCUGUCGACACUUUGAUCUUUGGACUUCUAGCUUCCAAAACCAGAAAAUAAAUUUCUGUUUUUUAAGUCACCUGGUCUAUAGUAUUUUUGUUACGGCAACCCCAGUAAACUAAUAAAGUUAGAAUUAUUAGAUGGUAGGAUUAUGUACGUGUUCAGCUUAAUUAAUAAUUCUGAUAUUUUUCUAAAGUAAUUGGACUAAUUUGCAAUUCUACUGGCAGUGUAUGAGAAUUCUUGUUCUGCAUUCUUGCCCAAAUAUGAUACUGUCAGACUUCACUUUUUCUAGUCUGGUAGGGGAGGAAUGAAAUACUAACGGUCAUUUUAAUUGCAUUUUCCUGACAACUAAGAGUUGAAUAUCUUCAUAUGUUUCUUGUUUCUAUAUCAAUAAAAUGCCUUUUAUAUCUUUGUCCA
Long non-coding RNA from Ailuropoda melanoleuca (giant panda), 1437 nucleotides. RefSeq lists it as uncharacterized. The record is from RefSeq and is a predicted model, not a curated record. NCBI's taxonomy places the organism in Eukaryota, Metazoa, Chordata, Mammalia, Carnivora, Ursidae. The transcript has 3 exons.